RNAcentral lists this ribosomal RNA (497 nucleotides) under uncultured bacterium. Its description in RNAcentral is "partial 16S ribosomal RNA". It matches the Rfam family "Bacterial small subunit ribosomal RNA", at positions 28 to 507 of the family's 1533-position model. The record is from RNAcentral.
GAUGAACGCUGGCGGCGUGCCUAAUACAUGCAAGUCGAGCGAACGGACGAGAAGCUUGCGUCUCUGAUGUUAGCGGCGGACGGGAGAGUAACACGUGUAUAACCUACUUAUAAGACUGGGAUAACUUCGGGAAACCGGAGCUAAUAACGGAGAAUAUUAUGCACCGCAUGGUUCAAAAGUGAAAGACGGUCUUGCUGGCACUUAUAGAUGCAUACCGGCUGCAUUAGCUAGUUGGUAAGGUAACGGCCUACCAAGGCAACGAUGCAUAGCCGAACGUGUGGGGUGAUCGGCGACCCUGGAAGUUAGACAGGGACAAGGGUCCUACGAGAGGCAGCAGUAGCGAAUCGUACGCAAUGGUCGAAAGCAUGACGGAGCAAGGCCACGUGAGUGAUAAAGGCCUCCGGAUCGUAAAGCUCUGUUAUUAGGUAAGAACAGAUUUGUACGGAGCCGUGGAGAUCUUGACGGUACCUGAUAAGAAAGCCACGGCUAACUACGUG